GAAGAGAGAGUCUGACGAUUUUCCAUUAAGGGCUAUUGAACAACAGGUUAUCUGGCUAGGCUCAACACCACUGGUCAACUUAGCAAAGAUCUGAAGGGAGGUUAAGUCAGUACAUCUAAUACUGGUCUGUACAUCAUGGAGGGAAAUGAAACUAACCAGAGUUAGUUUCACUUCUGCACAUACCUGUUGUGUUAAGUUUCUAUUUCCCAUUUACUAUCAGGGGUUUAUAAGUAGAACUGUUGUUCAGAAAGAGUUAUUCGUCUCCUAGACAGAAUGGAUCACACCUGGCUCUGCGUUCUACCAUUAUUGAGUAUCCUCAUCUACAGUGGUCACUCUCAAGCCGCAGCAACUGACAGAAAACUAAUGAUGGUGCUAGAUCUCCAGGAGUUGAAGCCUAUUGACACAUCCGUGAAACUUCUCGACGUAAGCGAAGAUAUACGUGCCAUUGAGAGGGCGAUGGACGAGUUUAAAAGAUCAUGGAAGUCGGAUUUGAAGCGUAUUGACACAUCCGUGGAAGUACCCGACGUGAGCGGAGAAAUACGUGCCUUUGAGAGGGUGAUGGACGAGUUUAAAAGAUCAUGGAACUCCUCCGGGUCUACUAUCCAAACACACAGUAUCCUGACACUUCUUUUCAUUACGAUGGCAUCGCUGAUGGUUGCAAUAUAGCCUCACAUGAACUACAUAUAUGUGAGGCUAUAGUAUGUCAUGCAAGCAAUAAUGUAAACUACAGUCCUGUAUAUUAGACUUGCAUUAUGUGAUAACGUUUCCUUUCCCAGUACACAUUUUGAUGAUAAUGUACACCUGUCUUUAGGUUAUAGUACACAUUUUAUUGAGCAUUUACAAUGAUACAUCAUGAAAUGUACAGAUGUAUUGAAUAAAAAAUAUAAAUAAUAAAAUAUACACUGAGUAAUCUCAA
This is a long non-coding RNA of Esox lucius (northern pike), 916 nucleotides long. The record is from Ensembl. NCBI's taxonomy places the organism in Eukaryota, Metazoa, Chordata, Actinopteri, Esociformes, Esocidae.